AUAAUUUCAUUUUUUUUUGCAGGCUGCCAGCAAUAUUCAGUCACAAGAGUGUAUGAAAAAAAACAAACCACCAAACCCAAAACCUAUCCCCAGCAUCCUCAGAUGUCAGAAGUGCUCCACAAAGGAUGCUGGUGCUGUUAUCCAUGAUUUCUGGAGGAGGCACAGGAAGGCUGCCAAGCAAGGUGGUGGUAGUCAGGAGCCUGUAUCAACGUGCUGUCUGCCAGCCCGUGCAAAGAAAGCAGUGAAAGAGUAGACAGCAAGAGCGACUAAGGAUAUUGAAAAAUGUCUCUGCUGAAAGCGACUGGGAACAGUGAGACUGUUUAGCUUCGGAUCAGCUAAGAGUGAACACAACAAUUUUGCAAAUAUUUCUGCCAAAUCACUCAAGCCUGAGCAUUCAGACAUACCCCCUUUUUCUCUCAUAUACUUGAGAUGGCCUUUGAACAAGCGAUAAACACCUGAGGCAGCUUGCAAUUUCAUUGUUAACAUUCAAUUUAUACUUUUGCAGAGUUAUAUUUGGUACAAGGGAAGUGAUAGCACUGAGCUGGUCAUUCACAUUUCCAAUAGGUGCCUGCAUCUGUGCCCAGCUAAGACAGGUUAUUAUGCUUUGUACUUAGACUUGUUCUUAUUAGACAUUGCUGCAUGGCCUUUGCUUGUAAAAACUGACAUGAAUGAAUGAGAAAAAUGGGGGUUACAACUCACCCAUCUGCAGUUUAAAAUAUACAGGGAACCUUGAGUAGAAGAAUUCAAGAAAUGAGAGCAAAAGGUGAAGGCUUAGUGUCACAAUGAAAGCUAUGCAUUUCCCUCAGCAAAUAACCUUAUCUCUAGGACAGAAAUUAGAUUGAGCAUCUAGAUAUGGAGCAGACAUGAAUGAAGUCAAUUACUGACUCAACUACCUAUACACAAGCACAAAUGUCUACCUGAAGUGGUUUGCUGUAAAAGAUUUUCAGACUAGAAAACUUUAAAAGAGCGAUAUGAUCUAGGGAAUUUGCAAAGCUGUCAUUAACUAUUGCAACUGUGAAGUGACCCUGUUCUGUUUUCAGUCUUUGCUGCUAAUUAUAAUACACAAUAUUCUAUCCAGGGCACAUUGCCAAUUUUGACAGGAAGAAGACUCAUCAUGUUUUAGGCUUGACAAAGCGUGGAGAGAUUAUUUGUUCAAUAAAUGCAAUCAUUUUGUGGCUGAAUGUUUUAUU
RNAcentral lists this long non-coding RNA (1190 nucleotides) under Calidris pugnax (ruff). RNAcentral's name for it is "lncRNA (ENSCPUG00000002670.1)". The record is from RNAcentral. Lineage: Eukaryota; Metazoa; Chordata; Aves; Charadriiformes; Scolopacidae.